This 252-nucleotide ribosomal RNA is filed under the name uncultured prokaryote. Its description in RNAcentral is "partial 16S rRNA". It matches the Rfam family "Bacterial small subunit ribosomal RNA", at positions 525 to 775 of the family's 1533-position model. The record is from RNAcentral.
ACCGGCAGCUCAAGUGGUGGCCAUUAUUAUUGGGCCUAAAGCGUUCGUAGCCGGUUUGAUAAGUCUCUGGUGAAAUCCCGCAGCUUAACUGUGGGACUUGCUGGAGAUACUAUCAGACUUGAGGUCGGGAGAGGUUAGGGGUACUCCCAGGGUAGGGGUGAAAUGCGUAGAUAUAUGGAAGAACACCAGUGGCGAAGGCGGCUGUCUGGUCUGUAACUGACGCUGAGGCUCGAAAGCAUGGGUAGCAAACAG